This 313-nucleotide long non-coding RNA is filed under the name Mustela putorius furo (domestic ferret). RNAcentral's name for it is "lncRNA (ENSMPUG00000028262.1)". The record is from RNAcentral. Lineage: Eukaryota; Metazoa; Chordata; Mammalia; Carnivora; Mustelidae.
UGUCCUUACAGUUUUCGCUGUGUCAGAGGGAGACAGACAAUGUAGCAGGUACACAUGGUUAUGGGCAUAUAUAGACAGAGGAAGAGCAUGCGUGGUGGUGAGGCAGAAAGGGAAGAAGGAGAGAGAGAAUCUCAAGUAGAUUCUACGUUCAAUGCGGAGCCCAAGAAGGACUAGAACUCACAACCCUGAGAUCAUAACCUGAGCUGAAAUCAAGAGUGGGCUGCUUAACCAACUGGAUAUCCCAAUCCUUAGACACUUGAGAUAUUUUCUGGCGAGGUCCAGUUUUUAAUACAUCACCUACGCUUCUUCUUCC